GAUUUUUGUAGAUUUAUAUCCUGUUCUUUUCUUUUUUCUCCUUCUCUUUCUUCUCUUUCUUCUCUUCCUCCCCCAUUCCCCCGAGUCUCCCACUGUCUUUCUCUCCGUAAGUUUCUUCUCUUUUCAUUAUUUUUCUCAGAAACCAAACAUAGCUUUCUUUUAUGUUCUUCUCUCUCGUUCUCUCUCACACUACGCAGUGGUUCUGUAUGUGAUUUUUCUUUUUCUUUUUAGUUUUCAUUUUUUAAAAUAUUUUUUAAAAUUCUUAACAUGUGAAACGGGCCGUGUCGUGUGAUUCACUAAUUGUAACGGGUCGUGUUCGUGUUUGACAGUUUCCACUCGUUUUCUUAUCGUGUCGUGUCAACCCAUCAAGAAAAGUAGGUUGACACGAACACGACACGAACACUGCAAACAUGAUACGAAUGCCAGGUCUAUUUAUGGGUGCAUGCAUUAAGCCAAUCCGAGCCAGUUAUGGGGCCAAGCAAACGGAGCUUAUGGCUACAAUUGAAGGAUUGCGUUUUGCUCUUGACAUGGACGUAUUUGACUUGUGCUAUUCUAGAGAUGGACGCAAAAGAAUGCAUAACUGGUAUUCUUACGACGGAGUAAUGCAAUGGAACAUAUAGUCUUUUACUUGAAGAAGCAAAAUGCAUAUUAAUUGAAGAGUAGCUUUAUGUCAAUAGUCCCUAAGGAGCUGCAAUAAGGUGGCACAGAUCUUGGCUCAAUUUGCAAUCAGCUUUAAUGAUUUUGUUUCUUGGAUUGAGGAAGCACACCUACAUGGUUGCUCUCAUUUCUUUCUGCAGAUGUACUCUAUUCUCGAG
Molecule: long non-coding RNA, 815 nt
Filed under: Prunus dulcis (almond)
Lineage: Eukaryota; Viridiplantae; Streptophyta; Magnoliopsida; Rosales; Rosaceae
Description: sRNA ncRNA
Source: RNAcentral